AAAGGAAUAGACGGGGACCCGCACAAGCGGUGGAGCAUGUGGUUUAAUUCGAAGCAACGCGAAGAACCUUACCAGGUCUUGACAUCCCACUGACCGCCCUAGAGAUAGGGCUUUCCCUUCGGGGACAGUGGUGACAGGUGGUGCAUGGUUGUCGUCAGCUCGUGUCGUGAGAUGUUGGGUUAAGUCCCGCAACGAGCGCAACCCUUGAACUUAGUUGCCAGCAUUCAGUUGGGCACUCUAAGAUGACUGCCGGUGACAAACCGGAGGAAGGUUGGGAUGACGUCAAAUCAUCAUGCCCCUUAUGACCUGGGCUACACACGUGCUACAAUGGAUGGUACAAAGGGCUGCGAAGCCGUGAGGUGGAGCGAAUCCCAUAAAACCAUUCACAGUUCGGAUUGUAGGCUGCAACUCGCCUACAUGAAGCCGGAAUCGCUAGUAAUCGUGGAUCAGCAUGCCACGGUGAAUACGUUCCCGGGUCUUGUACACACCGCCCGU
This 495-nucleotide ribosomal RNA is filed under the name uncultured bacterium. Its description in RNAcentral is "bacterial SSU rRNA". It matches the Rfam family "Bacterial small subunit ribosomal RNA", at positions 903 to 1397 of the family's 1533-position model. The record is from RNAcentral.